AUUGAACGCUGGCGGAAUGCUUUACACAUGCAAGUCGAACGAUGAACCUUAGCUUGCUAAGGGGAUUAGUGGCGAACGGGUGAGUAAUGUAUCGGAACGUAUCCAAUAAUGGGGGAUAACUAGUCGAAAGAUUAGCUAAUACCGCAUACGUCCUACGGGAGAAAGCUAGGGACCUUCGGGCCUGGCGUUAAUGGAGCGGCCGAUAUCUGAUUAGCUAGUUGGUGGGGUAAAGGCUCACCAAGGCGACGAUCAGUAGCUGGUCUGAGAGGACGACCAGCCACACUGGAACUGAGACACGGUCCAGACUCCUACGGGAGGCAGCAGUGGGGAAUUUUGGACAAUGGGCGAAAGCCUGAUCCAGCCAUUCCGCGUGAGCGAAGAAGGCCUUCGGGUUGUAAAGCUCUUUCGCAAGGGAAGAAAACUUAAGCUCUAACAUAGCUUGAGGUUGACGGUACCUUGAUAAGAAGCACCGGCUAACUACGUGCCAGCCGCCGCCGUAA
This 500-nucleotide ribosomal RNA is filed under the name uncultured bacterium. RNAcentral describes it as "partial 16S ribosomal RNA". It matches the Rfam family "Bacterial small subunit ribosomal RNA", at positions 30 to 523 of the family's 1533-position model. The record is from RNAcentral.